Molecule: ribosomal RNA, 512 nt
Filed under: uncultured bacterium
Lineage: Bacteria
Description: partial 16S ribosomal RNA
Rfam family: Bacterial small subunit ribosomal RNA
Source: RNAcentral
GACGAACGCUGGCGGCGUGCCUAAUACAUGCAAGUCGAGCGAAUCAGCAGGAGCUUGCUCCUGUUGGUUAGCGGCGGACGGGUGAGUAACACGUGGGCAACCUGCCUGUAAGACUGGGAUAACACCGGGAAACCGGUGCUAAUACCGGAUAAUCCUUUUCCUCUCAUGAGGAAAAGCUGAAAGUCGGUUUCGGCUGACACUUACAGAUGGGCCCGCGGCGCAUUAGCUAGUUGGUGAGGUAACGGCUCACCAAGGCGGCGAUGCGUAGCCGACCUGAGAGGGUUAUCGGACACACUGGGACUGAGACACGGCCCAGACGCCUACUGGAGGCAGCAGUAGGGAAUCUUCCACAAUGGACGAAAGUCUGAUGGAGCAACGCCGCGUGAGCGAUGAAGGCCUUCGGGUCGUAAAGCUCUGUUGUUAGGGAAGAACAAGUACCGGAGUAACUGCCGGUACCUUGACGGUACCUAACCAGAAAGCCACGGCUAACUACGUGCCAGCAGCCGCAGUAA